UGGGGAAUAUUGGACAAUGGGCGAAAGCCUGAUCCAGCCAUGCCGCGUGUGUGAAGAAGGUCUUCGGAUUGUAAAGCACUUUAAGUUGGGAGGAAGGGCAGUAAGCGAAUACCUUGCUGUUUUGACGUUACCGACAGAAUAAGCACCGGCUAACUCUGUGCCAGCAGCCGCGGUAAUACAGAGGGUGCAAGCGUUAAUCGGAAUUACUGGGCGUAAAGCGCGCGUAGGUGGUUCGUUAAGUUGAAUGUGAAAGCCCCGGGAUCAACCUGGGAACUGCAUCCAAAACUGGCGAGCUAGAGUAGGGCAGAGGGUGGUGGAAUUUCCUGUGUAGCGGUGAAAUGCGUAGAUAUAGGAAGGAACACCAGUGGCGAAGGCGACCACCUGUGCUCAUACUGACACUGAGGUGCGAAAGCGUGGGGAGCAAACAGG
This 429-nucleotide ribosomal RNA is filed under the name Pseudomonadota bacterium. RNAcentral's name for it is "Proteobacteria bacterium partial 16S ribosomal RNA". It matches the Rfam family "Bacterial small subunit ribosomal RNA", at positions 355 to 776 of the family's 1533-position model. Lineage: Bacteria; Pseudomonadati; Pseudomonadota. The record is from RNAcentral.